This 253-nucleotide ribosomal RNA is filed under the name uncultured bacterium. RNAcentral's name for it is "partial 16S ribosomal RNA". It matches the Rfam family "Bacterial small subunit ribosomal RNA", at positions 524 to 776 of the family's 1533-position model. The record is from RNAcentral.
UACGUAGGGACCGAGCGUUGUCCGGAUUCAUUGGGCGUAAAGAGCUCGUAGGCGGCUGUUCAAGUCGAACGUGAAAACUCGGAGCUCAACUCCGAGCCUGCGUUCGAUACUGGACGGCUAGAGUCUGGUAGGGGGAUCUGGAAUUCCUGGUGUAGCGGUGAAAUGCGCAGAUAUCAGGAGGAACACCUAUUGCGAAGGCAGCUCGCUGGGACGUAACUGACGCUGAGACGCGAAAGCGUGGGGAGCAAACAGG